This 465-nucleotide ribosomal RNA is filed under the name Vreelandella stevensii. RNAcentral describes it as "partial 16S ribosomal RNA". It matches the Rfam family "Bacterial small subunit ribosomal RNA", at positions 338 to 795 of the family's 1533-position model. Lineage: Bacteria; Pseudomonadati; Pseudomonadota; Gammaproteobacteria; Oceanospirillales; Halomonadaceae. The record is from RNAcentral.
CCUACGGGAGGCAGCAGUGGGGAAUAUUGGACAAUGGGGGGAACCCUGAUCCAGCCAUGCCGCGUGUGUGAAGAAGGCCCUCGGGUUGUAAAGCACUUUCAGUGAGGAAGAACGCCUGGUGGUUAAUACCCAUCAGGAAAGACAUCACUCACAGAAGAAGCACCGGCUAACUCCGUGCCAGCAGCCGCGGUAAUACGGAGGGUGCGAGCGUUAAUCGGAAUUACUGGGCGUAAAGCGCGCGUAGGUGGCUUGAUAAGCCGGUUGUGAAAGCCCCGGGCUCAACCUGGGAACGGCAUCCGGAACUGUCAAGCUAGAGUGCAGGAGAGGAAGGUAGAAUUCCCGGUGUAGCGGUGAAAUGCGUAGAGAUCGGGAGGAAUACCAGUGGCGAAGGCGGCCUUCUGGACGGAAACUGACACUGAGGUGCGAAAGCGUGGGUAGCAAACAGGAUUAGAUACCCGUGUAGUC